GCCGGUUUAGCUCAAUGGGUAGAGCACCUGACCUGUAAUCAGGCGGCGUCGGUUCGACUCCGGCAACCGGCUCCA
Molecule: transfer RNA, 75 nt
Filed under: Acidithiobacillus ferrivorans
Lineage: Bacteria; Pseudomonadati; Pseudomonadota; Acidithiobacillia; Acidithiobacillales; Acidithiobacillaceae
Description: tRNA-Thr
Rfam family: tRNA
About the family: Transfer RNA (tRNA) molecules are approximately 80 nucleotides in length. Their secondary structure includes four short double-helical elements and three loops (D, anti-codon, and T loops).
Source: RNAcentral